This is a long non-coding RNA of Bombyx mori (domestic silkworm), 682 nucleotides long. RefSeq lists it as uncharacterized. The transcript is spliced from 3 exons. The record is from RefSeq and is a predicted model, not a curated record. Lineage: Eukaryota; Metazoa; Arthropoda; Insecta; Lepidoptera; Bombycidae.
GCUGCCUCUUUAUACCAUAAAGUAGGCGGUUUAUUGUCUUCCGCCAUACAAUUCUGAAUCUUCAUAAUCAUCGCUAGUUAAACAAUAACAGGAAAGUUAUAAAUAAUUAGGAACAGAAUUUCAUCAAAUUCAAAAUAAGCUUGUUAAAAACCUAACAAUUUAAGGAAAGAAAAUGCGAACAAAAAAGAAGAUAACUCCGAAAACUGAGACGGUGUAGUAAGCACGGAACUCGCUCACUCAGCGGGAAGUAAAGUGCUCUCAACCCGGCUGAAGGUAAUCACUAAGAAUUUCCCAAAGGCGUGUUUACGACGCACCUUGCACGGCCCAAUCUUCGCCUCUCCAGUGACAUCAUUAUCACAUGCCGCCUUGCAAAUAUUCACAACACAAAAACAGUAAACGAAAGUCAUUGCAUACAAAAAGUUUGAUCGUACCCUAUCCAACUAAGUUGAAAGAGUCGUUGCAAUGGCAGCCAUAUCCACGUAUAACAGAACAAAGUCCCAUCUACCAUUUAAAAUGAACAUAAAACAAUUCAACUUCGAAGAGACGGAAAGAGUUCGAGCGAGUUGGGAAAGAUAAUUUUUGUUCUCGUUUAUCCAGACUACUAUUGUCAGGACACCUGGCACGCCAUUGCUAAUGGGACUUCGUUGAAAACGUUUGAUCGAAUAAAGACCGCCUAAUUAUC